CGGUGGCCCAGGAGGAAGACUCUCUUCGGUCCCCGCUGCCCGGGGCUGCCCUGACCCCGCGCCCCGGUGCGUCCGCGGCUCCUGCGCCUUCGGGGCCUGCGCCGGGGGUGCGUCCGGGGCUGGCGGGGGCCGCUGGGGCAACGCGAAGGGCACCGGCCGCGCCUCCAGCCUGGAAGCAGGGAAAGGCCUCGGAACUGGACGUCGGGGCGACCCGGCCCGGCCCUCCGGACGCAGGUUCCUUUCCCCGGAGCGGAGCUACUUUGUGCUUCGUCCCAACUUGCGAAUUCUGUGAGUUUGAAGGAGCCUCGCUGUGUCCACGAGUAACCACACGCAUGACCGCUGUGUCCGCGAGUGACCACACGCGUGACCGCUGUGUCCGCGAGUGACCACACGCGUGACCGCUGUGUCCGCGAGUGACCACACGCGUGACCGCUGUGUCCACUAAUGACCACACGCGUAACCGUGUGUCCGCAAGUAACCACACGCGUGACCGCUGUGUCCACGAGUGACCACACGCGUGACCGCUGUGUCCACGAGUAACCACAUGCGUGACCGCUGUGUCCACUAAUAACCACACGCGUAACCGUGUGUCCGCAAGUAACCACACACGUGACCGCUGUGUCCACACAUAAAGCUGAUGUCUAGGUCACCCCUAGUUAGGAAUCCCGUCCCGGAGUCUGGGAAAGGGCCGCAGAUUACAAAGAACUGACCGCCGGAAAGGGCGUAACUCGAGCGUCUGACAGUCACCCCGAGGCCAUCCGAUCAGCCCCGCGGAGAUGUCCGCUUUACAAGGGAGCAGGUGUUGUUCUGGACUCGGGGCCACUGGGCCACCGUUGCGGUGGCGCUUCAGAUGGAGCUGAAAUCCCGGAACGGAAGGACAUUUCCUGGUGACCAGCUGUGCACUGUUGGCACCAAAUAAUGACAUUGUGACAAACAGAACGGGAAACUAGAGGGUGUCCGUGUGGUCGGCCGCUCAACCUGGGCUUUCUGAUGAAGCACUUUCCCCCCAUGAGUCCCCUCCUUCCCACACCCACCCACCCGCCUUCUGCCCACGGGUCUGUAAUCCAGACUGUCCUUUCAGGGGUCACUAGUGACUUGGCCGAAAAUCCCUGGGUUAUUGUAAUGAUUCCCCCCACACUCAGUCUAACCAUUCAUAGCACCUGCUCUGUGCCAGGGCCAGUGGACCCUGGGGAUACAAGGAUGAAUAAGGUUCGGCCCGGCCCUGAAGGAGCUCCUCAUCUGGGACGGAGGACAGACCGAACAAAUGCAACCUCUUGGCGAUGGCCGAGGAAGGGCAGGAAGGUCCAGUGCAUGACCGGAAGAAAAACAAAAUCCGUUAGACAUCAAGCACACAUACCCGGAGUCCAGGAGAAGCACCGAAAGAGUUCUUUACUUGCCCCCGGGUGCAUUAUCUAUAGGCUUUCCAAGUCCUCUAGAAUCACAAGACAUUCUUCCGUUCAGUAUCUAUUCAUCGAGCCCCUUCUGGAAGCCAAGCCGUAAGCUCAGCCCCACGGACAGUGUGCGGCUGUGCUCUCGGAGCUGAAGGUCCAGUCGGGAAGCCGGGGGGCGAUCAAAUACUGGAAGGAGGGGCGCCGCAGACUUCAGCGAACGCUGCGGAGGAGUCACUGGCCCGCUUUCGAGGCCCAGCCGCGUUAAGAUUCCUGAGUAUCUACGCCACAUCCCCCCGACCAACAUCUGGCUAAAAACAAGAUGCACAAACCAAAGUGAACUUCUCUCCACUGUCUCUCUCCCUGCUGCGAAAGCCCGGCUCUCUGAGGCAAGUGAACAACCCUAUUAUUGCCCCAGAAGAAAGACAGUGUUGACGAGCUUUUCACCUGCUGUCUUGCAGCUCUCCAGUUCCUCCCCGCCCAACACCCGCCCCGUUUUCUUCUAUGAUCCUUACUUUGAUUUCCAAGGUCAGAUCAACGUAGAGAAGCUCUUAACUUACUUCUCAGCAUUAGCUGCGUGAUUGUUUCUGUUUCAAUGACCUCUUUCUCUCCCUGCUGCACCAGUGACCACAGGCUCCUCUUAAAAGGCAAAGGCCCCUGUUGUUCUCAGGCAGGGAGGGGGCAUUUGUAAAUAGAGUUCAGGAAUGUCAAAGGGGUGACCCAGAUUUGCAGCACCAGAGGAAAAACCCGAGCUCGUUGUUGAGUAUCCUAUGUGAUCAAACGUGGCCUAUUCUUGGCGUGGGGAACAGGUGUGCAGAAUGGUUAUUUAAUGGAACUACAGAGCAUUAUAGCGAGGAAUUCACUACUUAAAGACCUCAAGGCCAAGCAAAUGUAUUUAGUCCAAGUCCUCAAAUUAGAAAACCAAUUUUUUAAAUGCCUCCUUACUUACUUCCAACCAAGGGAAGUGCUGCAUUGUUCUUUCUCCUGAUUAGCAGUGAAAUCAACUCUACAGAAGGAAUAAAAUAUACCCAAAUAUAAAUAGGCCCGAGUUGCUUCUGUCAUCUUUCUUCAAAGCUUCGGUGCUUCGGUGCUUCCCCGAAUGUUUUCCAUUCCUUCUGAGGUGGUGCAGUUAAUAUACAAAGAUGCUGUGGGAGAGGUAGAUGGGUAACAGAGUUCCAGAGCUGGAAGUGAAACUGGAAUCAUCUAGCCCUACCCCCUCAUUUUACAAACAGGGCUAUGGAGGCAGAAAGCAGCGGCAUUUGGCUCACAGGAAGUGUCAGGGAAGACACUGAAACUGUUUCUUGACUCUCAGACUGGUGCCAUGAAAAUGUUUACUGUGCCCACCAAGGGCUUCCCCUCCGGUAUAGGUAAGGGGUUGUCUCGGCUUAUUCUCUAACCCCUCUUCUCCAAAUUGCAUGUUCCCUUGGUGGAACUAAUCCAGGGGGUUCUGGUGGGGCUUCAAAUCACUGUGUUCACACUAGGGCACAGCCAAUUCCGGCCUCCUGUCCCUCUGGGCACAGAACUCAGCUGGUGAGCCUGAGACCCACAUGGAAACAACUGGAGUUCUUGUUGCGAACCGUAACUGGGUAUUGUGAGAGGUUUCCUCUCCCCUUGAUGGAACACAAGCAGAGGAGAGGUAGGCUUUGGGCUGCCAGGGGCCAACUUCCCCAGCACGUAAAGAGAACCUGCCUCAAAAGAAGCCAAUACACAAUGUCCAGUAAGUUUAUCCAUUUAUCAUAACCACAUUCCUUGUUAACAGGUAAUGCCAGGUCUCUGCAAACUAAUAGGAGGGAAAAGCACGAAAUCAGAGAGCAGAAUGCAUUUUUGUUGUAGCAGUAGUUACUUUGGGAACAAUGUGGUUUUGUGGAAGAAACGUGCUCAUUAGGCUGUGAUCUGGGUUCAAAUGUGGCUUCUACUGCUUCCCAGCUGCCCCCAGUAGCUGGAAUGAAGAGCUUAGCUCCCUGGGCUGAUAUGAGGACUGAGGGGAGCAAAGGACCGAGCUCCAGGAAAGGACACCCCUUUAGGGUGUCCAAGCAGCAAGCCCCAGGAGAGAACUCUUUGUGGACUUGAUCUCUGCCUGUUAAAACUGACUUGUUCUCUCCCAAAGACUCCUUCAGGCAAAAAGGGUCAGGAAAGUCAUGGGUUACUUGGAGACACAGCCAGUGG
Mustela putorius furo (domestic ferret) is the source of this 3554-nucleotide long non-coding RNA. Lineage: Eukaryota; Metazoa; Chordata; Mammalia; Carnivora; Mustelidae. The record is from Ensembl.